UCAAUGUUAAAUAAAUUAUCUGCAACUAUUUAGCAAUAAAUUAAUCUUCAUAAAUCACAAAUCAACAUCAGAGACGACAACCUGCAAAGGCAGUGGCUGGGCGGGGGCCUAGGGAAAAACACUCUCCAAGGUGUUCCAUGAACUACAUUAAAUUAGAAACGAGGCGUCGUCAAGAUUCCGUAUAAUGACAAAAGCAAUUAAUUUUGUGUGUGCCCGGGCGAAUCGUACGGAAUGGAACGGAACGGAGCGGAGCGGAAAGCAAACACCCAUGCCUCUCUCCCCGUGUCCUUCUUUGGACACACAACACACAAUCAAAAUUCCACAGGAGAGGAGGUCGUGGGCUCCUCCCAGGGAGGGGAGCUCGAGCUCCCAUUCGAAAGCUUUGCAAUUAAUUAUGCGAAUCUGACGAAUCUUCCUAAGCGUCGAGAGCAACUCUUCGACUUGACACACACACACACACCACACACACUCGCACCCAUAGACAGGCACACACAAACCCUCAGAGAUACAGGAAAACACACACAGCCACAGACACCUAGAGAACAAAUUCUGUUUCCUGUCAACCGCCUGGCAUCAUGAUUUACAUGGCCUUACAAAAUGUUUCGGAAAGCAGGAGAGCGAGGGAAACGAGACGUCUACGCCUGUGGUUCGUCCUGGACCGAGGACGAGGGGUAAAUGCAAAUUUAAAGGCGUGAAUAAGCCAAAGGCAAACUCCUGAACUCUAAUUGUAGACAACCCCCGUAAUUAUCCGCAAUGGAAAAGCCAUUAAUGGUAUUAGCUGAUUGCCGAACAGCAUCCUUCCACUGAUUAUAACAACUUGAUUUUUCGUUUGUGAGAGUCACUCCCUCCCUUUUCUGGGUGGGUGCUCGGUGCUCAUCAAGUCAACUCCCAGCACUUGUUCAAAAAUAAUAACUAAUCAUAAUAGCAGUUGGGAAAAAAGAAUCUUUGCAAUCAUUUCAUGGGAAUUUCUCGACUGCAACUCCAUUUUUACGACACGUGACUGGGCACGCACUUUGAUUAGACCCCGGAACCACCACACCUCCCCACCGUAACCCUCAUAACUGCACCACCAGCCCACCAGCAGCAGCACCAGUAAUCCACCCACCACCAGCCCGCGAGCAGCAGAAGCACCCACCAAUAUCGGAUUGCAGAUUAUACAAACUGAAACCCGACUUUUCGACAGAGAGAGCGAGAGAGAGACCAGGUCCUGUCCACUUGACGCGUGCGGAUUGUGGGAAACGGCUUGGCGAGUGUCACAUUUUUAUGACUCUGUUUGAUUUCUGGCCGGCACAAGGCCGCUAAUGGAAGGCACUUGUUCAGCCCGACGAAAGUAACGAGAUUUCCUUUAACGGGAUACAGAUAUAUGACAAAUAUUUGCUGGAGAAAUACAUGGGCACAAGGACAAGUGCACUGUCAUCCCAUAGCAUACUGUGGGAAGAUUAAUUUUUGGGCUCAUACCCGUAGAAGAGUUGGGAUAGUGGGGAGGUUUUUCAAAUUGAUAAUAGUUUCAUGCAAAAUGCAAAAUUAUGUCAAGUAAAAAAGGAUUUGAUCUUCGCAGAGUCAGCCUCAGACUCUCGAAAGCAUUGAGCUUCUAGAUCCUUGUACAGAAAGGAUAAUAGAUGGGAAAAGGAGAGUUUCAGUUCAAGUUCAUCUCUGAGAUGAUCGUAUGGUUUGCGACCAGUUCUAUAUACAAAUACUCAUCAAAUUUACUUAUCGAGGUUGUCUUUUCUAUGAAGCUAAAAUAAACCAUUAUAUUGAAGUCAUGGAUUA
Molecule: RNA transcript, 1770 nt
Organism: Drosophila pseudoobscura
Lineage: Eukaryota; Metazoa; Arthropoda; Insecta; Diptera; Drosophilidae
Exons: 4
Source: RefSeq, a predicted model, not a curated record